RNAcentral lists this transfer RNA (63 nucleotides) under Agasicles hygrophila. RNAcentral describes it as "tRNA-Pro". Lineage: Eukaryota; Metazoa; Arthropoda; Insecta; Coleoptera; Chrysomelidae. The record is from RNAcentral.
CAGAUAUUAGUUUAUAUAAAAUUUUAAUUUUGGAGAUUAAAGAAAAUAGUUUAUUAUAUCUGA